This 487-nucleotide ribosomal RNA is filed under the name uncultured bacterium. RNAcentral's name for it is "bacterial SSU rRNA". It matches the Rfam family "Bacterial small subunit ribosomal RNA", at positions 28 to 526 of the family's 1533-position model. The record is from RNAcentral.
GACGAACGCUGGCGGCGCGCCUAAUACAUGCAAGUCGAGGGAGAACCGAGCCUUCGGGUUCGGGGAGACCGGCGAACGGGUGAGUAACACGUGAGGAACCUGCCCUGUAGACCGGAAUAACCACGGGAAACUGUGGCUAAUGCCGGGUACUCUUCCACGCCCGCAUGGGUAUGGAAGGAAAUGGUCCGCCGCUACAGGAUGGCCUCGCGGCCUAUCAGCUUGUUGGUGAGGUAACGGCUCACCAAGGCAACGACGGGUAGCUGGCGUGAGAGCGCGACCAGCCACACUGGGACUGAGACACGGCCCAGACUCCUACGGGAGGCAGCAGUAGGGAAUAUUGCGCAAUGGGCGAAAGCCUGACGCAGCGACGCCGCGUGCGGGAAGAAGGCCCUCGGGUUGUAAACCGCUUUCAGGAGGGAAGAAGCGUCAGUGACGGUACCUCCAGAAGAAGCCCCGGCCAACUACGUGCCAGCAGCCGCGGUAACAC